Neopsephotus bourkii (Bourke's parrot) is the source of this 612-nucleotide long non-coding RNA. RefSeq lists it as uncharacterized. The record is from RefSeq and is a predicted model, not a curated record. Lineage: Eukaryota; Metazoa; Chordata; Aves; Psittaciformes; Psittacidae. The transcript is spliced from 4 exons.
UGAAAAGCAGCAAGACUAGAGCCACUGAAAGCUUUCCUGCACUUUGGAUGUGUACAGACUGACUCUUCGGUGCUUGCAGCACUAUGCAUCAUUUUGGAAGUGUGAAACACAGCUUGUUGUAACCUGGACUGCAGAUGUGAGCCAAGCCAUGGGAACUUGUUGGCAUUGUGCCUUCCAAUUCAAAGUUGAAUUGAAGCCAUUGUAUAUCUUGGAGAUAAAGCCAAAGACCUUGAAGCAGAUUUUGAUAACCAGAUAGAAGACAGUGAGAGGUGAUGCCACAACACACUUGGAGGUGGAGACAUGGAACUCUUGCAGCAAGAGAGGGAUGAACAGAUUGUGCACAUCUGUAGGAAACCAUAUUUCAGCAUUUCUGCUGUCCAAGGAACAUCUGACAUCUGUUUGGAGGGAAAUUAGGCCCUAGUCAUCCUCUGCGUAAGAUGCGUUUCUGGAGGAGAUGAAUCUGAUGCUAUUUCUUCAUAUGGGCUGCAAGAAGGAAACAUCUUCCUAGGAAGCUGUCAGCAGCCUUUUUGAGGUCAUCCUGUCACACCAGUCUGAUACAUGCACGUAUUGCUUGAUUCAGUGAUCUCUUAUCUCUCUGGUCUCCUGUAAAAA